This 426-nucleotide ribosomal RNA is filed under the name uncultured bacterium. RNAcentral's name for it is "bacterial SSU rRNA". It matches the Rfam family "Bacterial small subunit ribosomal RNA", at positions 37 to 502 of the family's 1533-position model. The record is from RNAcentral.
GCUGUUUUUAUAGCGGGAGUUCAUUUCGAGAACGCAGUGAAGCUGCUGACGAGCGGCGGACGGCUGAGUAACGCGUGGGAACAUACCCCAAACUGAGGGAUAACUACUCGAAAGAGUGGCUAAUACCGCAUGUGAUCUUCGGAUUAAAGGAUUUAUCCGGUUUGGGAAUGGCCUGCGUACGAUUAGAUAGUUGGCGAGGUAAAGGCUCACCAAGUCGACGAUCGUUAGAUGGUUUGAGAGGAUGAUCAUCCAGACUGGGACUGAGACACGGCCCAGACUCCUACGGGAGGCAUUUGUAGGGAAUCUUUCACAAUGGGCGAAAGCCUGAUGGAGCAACGCCGCGUGCAGGAUGAAGGCCUUCGGGUUGUAAACUGCUUUUAUAAGCGAGAAUUAUGAUGGUAACUUAUGAAUAAGGAUCGGCUAACU